RNAcentral lists this ribosomal RNA (366 nucleotides) under uncultured eukaryote. RNAcentral describes it as "partial 18S ribosomal RNA". It matches the Rfam family "Eukaryotic small subunit ribosomal RNA", at positions 592 to 976 of the family's 1831-position model. The record is from RNAcentral.
CAAUAGCGUAUAUUAACGUUGUUGCAGUUAAAAAGCUCGUAGUUGGAUUUCUGGAGGGAGCGUCGGCCCGUAUUUACGAGUGCGUGACGUCUCUGUCCAUCCUUGCGGGAAGGCACGGCAUUGAUUUGUUGUGUCGGAUCGCAUCAUUUACUGUGAAAAAAUUAGAGUGUUCAAAGCAGGCUUUCGCUUGAAUACAUUAGCAUGGAAUAAUAAGAUAGGACUUUGGUGCUAUUUUGUUGGUUGAGCCUAAAGUAAUGAUUAAUAGGGAUAGUUGGGGGCACCUGUAUUGCGUUGUCAGAGGUGAAAUUCUUGGAUUUACGCAAGACAAACAGCUGCGANANCGUCUUNCAAGGAUGUUNUCAUUNA